UACGUGGUGGCAAGCGUUGUUCGGAAUUACUGGGCAUAAAGGGUGCGUAGGUGGCUUGUUAAGUCAGGGGUGAAAGUUUUCGGCCCAACCGGAAAAUGGCCUUUGAUACUGGCGAGCUCGAGUGCGUGAGGGGUAACCGGAACGAGCAGUGUAGCGGUGAAAUGCGUAGAUAUUGCUCGGAAGGCCAACGGCGAAGGCAGGUUACUGGUGCGCAACUGACACUGAGGCACGAAAGCGUGGGGAGCAAACAGG
This 252-nucleotide ribosomal RNA is filed under the name uncultured bacterium. RNAcentral describes it as "partial 16S ribosomal RNA". It matches the Rfam family "Bacterial small subunit ribosomal RNA", at positions 524 to 776 of the family's 1533-position model. The record is from RNAcentral.